This 497-nucleotide ribosomal RNA is filed under the name uncultured bacterium. RNAcentral describes it as "partial 16S ribosomal RNA". It matches the Rfam family "Bacterial small subunit ribosomal RNA", at positions 28 to 507 of the family's 1533-position model. The record is from RNAcentral.
GAUGAACGCUGGCGGCGUGCCUAAUACAUGCAAGUCGAGCGAACAGAUGAGGAGCUUGCUCCUCUGACGUUAGCGGCGGACGGGUGAGUAACACGUGGAUAACCUACCUAUAAGACUGGUAUAACUUCGGGAAACCGGCGCUAAUACCGGAUAAUAUAUUGAACCGCAUGGUUCAAUAGUGAAAGACGGUUUUGCUGUCACUUAUAGAUGGAUCCGCGCCGCAUUAGCUAGUUGGUAAGGUAACGGCUUACCAAGGCAACGAUGCGUAGCCGACCUGAGAGAGUGAUCGGCCACACUAGAACUGAGACACGGUCCAGACUCCUACGGGAGGCAGCAGUAGGGAAUCUUCCGCAAUGGGCGAAAGCCUGACGGAGCAACGCCGCGUGAGUGAUGAAGGUCUUCGGAUCGUAAAACUCUGUUAUUAGGGAAGAACAAAUGUGUAAGUAACUAUGCACGUCUUGACGGUACCUAAUCAGAAAGCCACGGCUAACUACGUG